Molecule: non-coding RNA, 840 nt
Organism: Lates calcarifer (barramundi perch)
Lineage: Eukaryota; Metazoa; Chordata; Actinopteri; Centropomidae
Source: the annotation of a RefSeq genome assembly
GACACACUGACAAGCUGCUGGAAGCCUUUUUUCCACACUCUUCAACUCAGCUUUUUACCUCCACUAGAGGGCCACAUUAUCAAGUAGGCGGUGCACUACUUGUGCACUGUGUUCAACCAUUCUGUCAAUAAUAACUGCUGCUGUGAAGAGAACAAUUCUCAGACUGAAUGUUGAACAUCAGCCAGUUUCUCCUCUGGAUUUAAACCUUGUUGUAGACAUGGAACAUUGGCUGUGGAUUAUUCUUGCUGCUCUUUUCUUUGAGUGUAAAGGCCAAGACACAGUGACCCAGCCAACAGGAGACGUCACUGCUGCUGAAGGAGACACAGUUACACUCAACUGUACAUUUGAGACAACUGACCCAAGUCCAUCUUUGUACUGGUACAAACAAGGAGUCAAUGAUUCUCCAAAGUACUUGGUGAAGUGUUUCUCAAAAACAGUUGACCAUUCUCCAGAGAUCCAGAAAGACAGAUUUCAUGCUGAAAUCAUUGAGAAGUCAGUUCCUCUGAAGAUCCAGAAGCUUCAGCUGUCUGACUCUGCUGUGUACUACUGUGCUCUGCAGCCCACAGUGACAGGAAACACCACAACUCUGUACAAAAACCUUUGGAGCAAAGACAACACAAUACUCCACAACAUCCACUAGAGGGAGUCACACACUGUUAAACUUCAAUGGUUUCUUCUCAUCCAGUCGACAGUAACUUCACUUUCAGACAGGAUUGUCAUGAAAAGCUUUAGAAACUAGUCACAGCACAAAACGGUAACCAUGGAAACAGCACUAGUCAAAACUGUGAAGGACUGAUGUAUAAACACAGACUUUAAUAAAUGAUCUGUUCUUGUUCUUGC